Molecule: non-coding RNA, 72 nt
Organism: Danionella cerebrum
Lineage: Eukaryota; Metazoa; Chordata; Actinopteri; Cypriniformes; Danionidae
Source: the annotation of a GenBank genome assembly
GGUUGUGUCGGUCAGUGGUAGGGCGCAUGCUUUGCAUGUAUGAGGUCCUGGGUUCAAUCCCCAGCAUCUCCA